This 468-nucleotide ribosomal RNA is filed under the name uncultured bacterium. RNAcentral describes it as "partial 16S ribosomal RNA". It matches the Rfam family "Bacterial small subunit ribosomal RNA", at positions 28 to 507 of the family's 1533-position model. The record is from RNAcentral.
GACGAACGCUGGCGGCGUGCUUAACACAUGCAAGUCGAGCGGAAAGGCCCUGCUUUUGUGGGGUGCUCGAGUGGCGAACGGGUGAGUAACACGUGAGUAACCUGCCCUUGACUUUGGGAUAACUUCAGGAAACUGGGGCUAAUACCGGAUAGGAGCUCCUGCUGCAUGGUGGGGGUUGGAAAGUUUCGGCGGUUGGGGAUGGACUCGCGGCUUAUCAGCUUGUUGGUAGGGUAGUGGCUUACCAAGGCUUUGACGGGUAGCCGGCCUGAGAGGGUGACCGGCCACAUUGGGACUGAGAUACGGCCCAGACUCCUACGGGAGGCAGCAGUGGGGAAUAUUGCACAAUGGGCGGAAGCCUGAUGCAGCAACGCCGCGUGCGGGAUGACGGCCUUCGGGUUGUAAACCGCUUUCGCCUGUGACGAAGCGUGAGUGACGGUAAUGGGUAAAGAAGCACCGGCUAACUACGUG